This 72-nucleotide transfer RNA is filed under the name Anaerolineales bacterium. Its description in RNAcentral is "tRNA-Ala". It matches the Rfam family "tRNA". From Rfam's summary of the family: Transfer RNA (tRNA) molecules are approximately 80 nucleotides in length. Their secondary structure includes four short double-helical elements and three loops (D, anti-codon, and T loops). RNAcentral also lists the same sequence under 1 other name. The record is from RNAcentral. Lineage: Bacteria; Bacillati; Chloroflexota; Anaerolineae; Anaerolineales.
GGGCCUGUGGCGCAGCGGGAGCGCGCCUCAAUCGCACUGAGGAGGUCGCGGGUUCGAAUCCCGCCAGGUCCA